RNAcentral lists this ribosomal RNA (264 nucleotides) under uncultured bacterium. RNAcentral describes it as "partial 16S ribosomal RNA". The record is from RNAcentral.
CUGCUGCCUCCCGUAGGAGUCUGGUCCGUGUCUCAGUACCAGUGUGGGGGACCUUCCUCUCAGAACCCCUACGCAUCGUCGCCUCGGUGGGCCGUUACCCCGCCGACUAGCUAAUGCGACGCAUGGCCAUCCUAUGCCGGAGUCGCCUCCUUUGACCCCCUGGAGAUGUCUCCAAAUGGUGUUAUGCGGUAUUAGACGGAAUUUCUUCCGCUUAUCCCCCUGCACUAGGGCAGGUUCCAUACGUGUUACUCACCCGUGCGCCGG